This 1356-nucleotide ribosomal RNA is filed under the name uncultured Clostridia bacterium. Its description in RNAcentral is "16S ribosomal RNA". It matches the Rfam family "Bacterial small subunit ribosomal RNA", at positions 58 to 1428 of the family's 1533-position model. The record is from RNAcentral. Lineage: Bacteria; Bacillati; Bacillota; Clostridia.
CAAGUCGAACGGAAAUAAGUUUGGUGUUUACAUUGAACUUAUUUUAGUGGCGGACGGGUGAGUAACACGUAGGUAACCUACCUUAGAGUAUGCGAUAACUAGAAGAAAUUUUAGAUAAUAGCAUAUAAGACCACAUCAUCACAUGAUGAAGCGGUAAAAGGAGUAAUUCGCUUUAAGAUGGACCUGCGGCUGAUUAGUUAGUUGGCGUGAUAACAGCACACCAAGACGAUGAUCAGUAGCCGAGCUGAGAGGCUGAUCGGCCACAUUGGGACUGAGACACGGCCCAGACUCCUACGGGAGGCAGCAGUUGGGAAUAUUGGACAAUGGAGGAAACUCUGAUCCAGUGACGUCGCGUGAAGGAAGAAGGUCUUCGGAUUGUAAACUUAUUUUAUCAGGGAAAAAACAAAUGAUGGUACCUGAAGAAAAAGCACCGGCAAACUACGUGCCAGCAGCCGCGGUAAUACGUAGGGUACAAGCGUUAUCCGGAUUUACUGGGUAUAAAGGGUGAGUAGACGGCAAUGCAAGUCAGCUGUGAAACCUUGGAGCUCAACUCCAGGCCUGCAGCUGAAACUGUAUAGCUAGAGUACAGGAGAGGAAAGCGGAAUUCCUAGUGUAGCGGUGAAAUGCGUAGAUAUUAGGAAGAACACCAGUGGCGAAGGCGGCUUUCUGGACUGAAACUGACGUUGAGGCACGAAAGUGUGGGGAGCAAACAGGAUUAGAUACCCUGGUAGUCCACACUGUAAACGAUGGAUACUAGGUGUAGGCAUGAAUGUGUCUGUGCCGGCGCAAAUGCAAUAAGUAUCCCACCUGGGGAGUACGACCGCAAGGUUAAAACUCAAAGGAAUUGACGGGGGCCCGCACAAGCAGUGGAGUAUGUGGUUUAAUUCGACGCAACGCGAAGAACCUUACCAAGGCUUGACAUGCAGAUGAAUACUAAAGAAAUUUAGUAGGCCUUCGGGACAUCUGUGCAGGUGAUGCAUGGUUGUCGUCAGCUCGUGUCGUGAGAUGUUAGGUUAAGUCCUGCAACGAGCGCAACCCACGUGUUUAGUUGCUACGCAAGUAGAACUCUAAACAGACUGCCGUAGUUAAUACGGAGGAAGGUGUGGAUGACGUCAAAUCAUCACGUCCCUUACGUCUUGGGCAACACACGUACUACAAUGGCUAUUACAGAAAGAUGCGAAUCCGUGAGGAGGAGCGAAACUUAGAAAAGUAGUCCUAGUUCGGAUUGAAGGCUGCAACUCGCCUUCAUGAAGCCGGAAUUGCUAGUAAUCACAGGUCAGCAUACUGUGGUGAAUACGUUCCCGGGCCUUGUACACACCGCCCGUCACACCAUGAGAGUUGGAAAUACCUGAAGUC